RNAcentral lists this ribosomal RNA (253 nucleotides) under uncultured bacterium. RNAcentral describes it as "partial 16S ribosomal RNA". It matches the Rfam family "Bacterial small subunit ribosomal RNA", at positions 524 to 776 of the family's 1533-position model. The record is from RNAcentral.
UACGUAGGUGGCGAGCGUUGUCCGGAUUUACUGGGCGUAAAGAGCGCGCAGGCGGUCGUUCAAGUCGCGUGUGAAAGCCCCCGGCUCAACUGGGGAGGGUCACGCGAUACUGAUCGACUCGAAGGCAGGAGAGGGUAGUGGAAUUCCCGGUGUAGUGGUGAAAUGCGUAGAUAUCGGGAGGAACACCAGUGGCGAAGGCGAAUCUCUGGACAGUUACUGACACUGAGGCACGAAGGCCAGGGGAGCAAACGGG